CGGCCUGAGAGGGUGGUCGGCCACACUGGGACUGAGACACUGCCCAGACUCCUACGGGAGGCUGCAGUCGAGAAUCUUUCGCAAUGCCCGAAAGGGUGACGAAGCGACGCCGCGUGUGGGAAGAAGGCCUUCGGGUUGUAAACCACUGUCGGGAGUUAGGAAGUGUAGGGGUGUUAAUAGCGCCUCUACUUGACUAAGGCUCCGGAGGAAGCCACGGCUAACUCUGUGCCAGCAGCCGCGGUAAUACAGAGGCGGCAAGCGUUGUUCGGAAUUAUUGGGCGUAAAGAGCACGUAGGCGGCCUAGUAAGUCAGUUGUGAAAGCCUUCUGCUUAACGGAAGAACAGCAUCUGAUACUGCGAGGCUAGAGUGCGGGAGGGGAGAGUGGAACUUCUGGUGGAGCGGUGAAAUGCGUAGAUAUCAGAAGGAACACCGGCGGCGAAAGCGACUCUCUGGCCCGUAACUGACGCUGAGUGUGCGAAAGCUAGGGGAGCAAACGGGAUUAGAUACCCCGGUAGUCCUAGCCGUAAACGAUGGGCACUAAGUAGAGGGGUUUUGAUUAUCUCUCUGCCGGAGCUAACGCAUUAAGUGCCCCGCCUGGGGAGUACGGCCGCAAGGCUAAAACUCAAAAGAAUUGACGGGGGCUCGCACAAGCGGUGGAGCAUGUGGCUUAAUUCGAUGCAACGCGAAGAACCUUACCGGGGUUUGACAUGGUAGAAGUAGGAGCCUGAAAGGGUGACGAACGGUAUCCAGUCCGUGACUAUCACAGGUGUUGCAUGGCUGUCGUCAGCUCGUGUCGUGAGACGUUGGGUUAAGUCCCCUAACGAGCGAAACCCUUGUCUUUAGUUGCCAACAGGUCAUGCUGGGCACUCUAAAGAGACUGCCGUCGUCAAGACGGAGGAAGGUGGGGAUGACGUCCAGUCAUCC
This 924-nucleotide ribosomal RNA is filed under the name groundwater metagenome. RNAcentral describes it as "bacterial SSU rRNA". It matches the Rfam family "Bacterial small subunit ribosomal RNA", at positions 288 to 1195 of the family's 1533-position model. The record is from RNAcentral.